Molecule: long non-coding RNA, 236 nt
Filed under: Linum usitatissimum (flax)
Lineage: Eukaryota; Viridiplantae; Streptophyta; Magnoliopsida; Malpighiales; Linaceae
Description: long non-coding RNA (LUSI_LNC003206)
Source: RNAcentral
GAACCCGCUGAUAUGGGUAAAACUACGAAUAUUGUUAACCAAGGAAAAGAAUUCGUGAUAAAGACAGGAUAGACUUAGCCCAGAAAACCCGUGCUCGAAAAAAAGAUUUAUUUUGUUUUCGAGCGCGGAUUUUUGUCGGUAAACAAAAGAUCAAAUAUGUUCAAGUGGUUUUUUGCGUGCAAUUCUCAAUAAGCUAGACUCAUACUUCGGGUUGUUUCGUUCCAUACAUAUAUACG